AUACGGAAGGUCCGGGCGUUAUCCGGAUUUAUUGGGUUUAAAGGGAGCGCAGGCGGAGAUGCAAGCGUGACGUCAAAUUUCGGGGCUCAACCCCGUCUCGCGUCGCGAACUGCGUCCCUUGGUUGCGGGAAGGGGAGGCGGAACUCGUGGUGGAGCGGUGAAAUGCAUAGAUAUCACGAAGAACUCCGAUCGCGAAGGCAGCCUUCCGGCCCGUCAACGACGCUCAUGCUCGAAGGUGCGGGUAUCAAACAGGAUUAGAUACCCUGGUAGUCCGCACAGUAAACGAUGGACACCCGCGGUUUGGCCUAUAUGGCUGAGCCGCCAAGCGAAAGCGUUAAGUGUCCCACCUGGGGAGUACGCCGGCAACGGUGAAACUCAAAUGAAUCGACGGGG
RNAcentral lists this ribosomal RNA (393 nucleotides) under uncultured bacterium. RNAcentral describes it as "partial 16S ribosomal RNA". It matches the Rfam family "Bacterial small subunit ribosomal RNA", at positions 523 to 918 of the family's 1533-position model. The record is from RNAcentral.